This 491-nucleotide ribosomal RNA is filed under the name uncultured bacterium. RNAcentral describes it as "partial 16S ribosomal RNA". It matches the Rfam family "Bacterial small subunit ribosomal RNA", at positions 28 to 507 of the family's 1533-position model. The record is from RNAcentral.
GAUGAACGCUGGCUACAGGCUUAACACAUGCAAGUCGAGGGGAAACGACGGGGAAGCUUGCUUCCCCGGGCGUCGACCGGCGCACGGGUGAGUAACGCGUAUCCAACCUGCCUCUGACUGAGGGAUAACCCGUCGAAAGUCGGCCUAAUACCUCAUGGUAUCGUCUGCGGGCAUCCAACGACGAUUAAAGAUUUCAUCGGUCAGGGAUGGGGAUGCGUCUGAUUAGCUUGUUGGCGGGGUAACGGCCCACCAAGGCUACGAUCAGUAGGGGUUCUGAGAGGAAGGUCCCCCACAUUGGAACUGCGACACGGUCCAAACUCCUACGGGCGGCAGCAGUGAGGAAUAUUGGUCAAUGGGCGAGAGCCUGAACCAGCCAAGUAGCGUGCAGGAAGACGGCCCUAUGGGUUGUAAACUGCUUUUAUGCGGGGAUAAAGUGAGGGACGUGUCCCUCAUUGCAGGUACCGCAUGAAUAAGGACCGGCUAAUUCCGUG